CAAAGUCCAUUUUGCAUUGGAUUUUCAAUUUUUCGAAUACAUAUUAUGUUAUAGCUCUUCUGAAUUCAAUAUGGAACUUUUAGAAAUUAUUGUCAUGAGAAGAAGUGACCGGUUGACAAGGAUGUUUUCUCGUCAAUGACACCUGAGGUUUGUGUUUGCUAUGCUUCCAAUAUGGACUUUUGAGCUUACAUUUGCUCUGUUCCUGACAUCCCCGGAUGGAGAAAAAUGGGAUGUAAAAUUUCAAUGAAAUUAAAAGCUG
Molecule: long non-coding RNA, 259 nt
Organism: Saccostrea cuccullata (small rock oyster)
Lineage: Eukaryota; Metazoa; Mollusca; Bivalvia; Ostreida; Ostreidae
Exons: 3
Source: RefSeq, a predicted model, not a curated record